This 616-nucleotide ribosomal RNA is filed under the name uncultured bacterium. RNAcentral describes it as "bacterial SSU rRNA". It matches the Rfam family "Bacterial small subunit ribosomal RNA", at positions 29 to 650 of the family's 1533-position model. The record is from RNAcentral.
AUGAACGCUAGCGGCAGGCCUAAUACAUGCAAGUCGAACGGUCGUAGUAAUACGAUAGUGGCGCACGGGUGCGUAACACGUAUGCAACCUACCUUAUACUGGGGGAUAGCCUUUGGAAACGGAGAUUAAUACCCCAUAGUAUUAUUGACUGGCAUCGGUUAAUAAUUAAAGAUCUAUUGGUAUAAGCUGGGCAUGCGUCCAAUUAGCUAGUUGGUGAGGUAAUGGCUCACCAAGGCUAUGAUUGGUAGGGGAACUGAGAGGUUAAUCCCCCACACUGGCACUGAGAUACGGGCCAGAACUCCUACGGGAGGCAGCAGUAGGGAAUAUUGGGCAAUGGAGGCAACUCUGACCCAGCCAUGCCGCGUGCAGGACGAAGGCGUUAUGCGUUGUAAACUGCUUUUUAUAUAGGAAGAAAGAGUUCUUUGCGAGAACAGUCGACGGUACUAUAUGAAUAAGCACCGGCUAACUCCGUGCCAGCAGCCGCGGUAAUACGGAGGGUGCAAGCGUUGUCCGGAUUUAUUGGGUUUAAAGGGUGCGUAGGCGGUUUAUUAAGUCAGUGGUGAAAGACGGUCGCUCAACGAUUGCAGUGCCAUUGAUACUGGUAGACUUGAGUGAG